RNAcentral lists this ribosomal RNA (253 nucleotides) under uncultured bacterium. RNAcentral's name for it is "partial 16S ribosomal RNA". It matches the Rfam family "Bacterial small subunit ribosomal RNA", at positions 524 to 776 of the family's 1533-position model. The record is from RNAcentral.
UACGUAGGUGGCAAGCGUUGUCCGGAUUUAUUGGGUUUAAAGGGUGCGUAGGCGGCCCUGUAAGUCAGUGCUGAAAUAUCCCAGCUUAACUGGGAGGGUGGCAUUGAUACUGCGGGGCUAGAGUACAGAUGAGGUAGGCGGAAUUGACGGUGUAGCGGUGAAAUGCUUAGAUAUCGUCAAGAACACCUAUAGCGAAGGCAGCUUACUAGGCUGUAACUGGCGCUGAGGCACGAAAGUGUGGGGAUCAAACAGG